Molecule: long non-coding RNA, 1647 nt
Organism: Homo sapiens (human)
Lineage: Eukaryota; Metazoa; Chordata; Mammalia; Primates; Hominidae
Product: long intergenic non-protein coding RNA 511
Source: Ensembl
UUCUACGGGAGUUCACAGGCAGUCCGUGGGGAUGGUCACAGGUAUUUUUCCCUCUCCACCCUGGUCUUCUCCUGUAACGUGUGGCCGCCUUUUCCAGCACGGCCUCCUGCCUUCCUGGUGCACUUUUUGGAGAACGUGGUGGAAUCAGAGGUUUCUGGCUGACUCGGUGGGUGCUUUGAACCAGGAAAGGACAAGAAAGAGGAUGGGAAGGACUGAUCCACAUUCCCACCAGGAAGUUUAGCAGAACCCCCGCGUGCCACCUGGACCCCUUGGAAGGACCUGGCUCAGGCUGGACCACCUCUUGAGAGGCAGGAGCUCUGGAUUUGAUCAAGAAUUCUUUGCUGAGCAUGGUGCCUCAUGCCUAUAAUCCCAACACUUUGGGAGGCCAGUGUGGGAGGAUCUCUUGAGCCCAGGAGUUCAAGACUAGCCUGGGCAACACAGAGAGACCCCAUCUCUAAAAUAAUAAUAAUAAUAAAAUAAAAAAUUAGCAGGGCAUGGUGGCAUGUGCCUGUAGUCCCAGCUACCCAGGAGGCUGAGGCAAGAGGAUGGCUGGAGCCUGGGAUGUUGAGGCUGCAAUGAACUGUGAUUACCCCACUGCACUCCAGCCUGGGCAAAAGAGCGAGAGACCCUGUCUCAAAUAAUAAUAAUAAUAAUAAUCUUAUUUUGGAGAAUAAAGAGACCUCUGGAUUUGAGGUGCCAUUUGGGUAGAAAGAAAAGACGUUUACACCGAGAAAUAGUCUGUGUUGCCCUGAAGGAGCAGAGGGAUGCAUCGCUGGAGGUGACCUACAGUUGAAGAAGACUCAUUAUGACAGACCUUGUCCUUCUUCCUUGUGGAAAGUGUUUCCUCUGCUGCUACUGCUCAUGAGACUCUUCCCCCUCCCUGUCCCAGGGAACCAAAGGGCUUUCUACCACACCCUUUCUUGCCCCCCGCCUCCCAUGUCUGCUGUGCCUUUGUACUCAGCAAUUCUUGUUUGCUCCAUUAUCUUCCAGCCGGAUACAGAGUGAAUAGUUAACCACACUUAGGUCAAAUAGGAUCUAAAUUUUUGUUCCUGCUCCGUGUAAAGAGGCCAGUGUUUGUGUGUUGCAAGCAGCCUUGGAAUAGUAACUCUUCUCAUUUGUUUGGGAUCUGGCCACCAAGUUCCAGAAUGAUACACGGAUCAGUGCAGAAGUUCAUCAGGCUCUCGGACCUUAGGGCUGUUGGAGAAGGCUUCAGCAGCAGAACUGAUGGUGAAGGCUCGUGUUCUCCAUCCUCAACUUUCUUUGCUUCGAUCAUACACAAGAAUACAUUUGGAAGGGCAAAAAAUGAACACUGUCGUUCAUUGCAGCCGUGUUUUGUGACACAGAUGCACAGUCUGCUGUGAAGACCUUCUCUCAAGUGGCAUUUGGGAGUCCAUGCCAGAUCAUGGUGCUUCAUGAGAGACUGACAGCUAUCAGGGGUUGUGGCACUUAGUGAGGACUCUCCUCCCCCAGUGUGUGCUGAUGACACAUACACACCUGACAAUAGCUUGAGUCUUCUCUGUUCCUUUUACUCUGUAGCCAACAUACACAUGAUUUAAAACCCUUUCUAAAUAUCUAUCAUGGUUCAUCCUUGUCCAAAUGCAGAGUCAGAGCUAUUUGUACUUCAUUAUUAUUUCCAAGGCGAAUAGU